CCAGCCUGAAUUCACCAGAUCACAGUCGCCUCUGCUGUUCCGACCUACAAUCUCUCCACCUCACGGCAUGGAUGCUGCAUGGCUAAACCCUUCAGAACUUCUCUGUUCAGAAUCUGUGCAGCAAGUACUGAUGGGCAGCAGGAAGCCCUCCACUUGGGCCACGUAUACGGCUAAGUGGAAGCGGUUU
Dermochelys coriacea (leatherback sea turtle) is the source of this 187-nucleotide long non-coding RNA. RefSeq lists it as uncharacterized. The record is from RefSeq and is a predicted model, not a curated record. The transcript is spliced from 3 exons. NCBI's taxonomy places the organism in Eukaryota, Metazoa, Chordata, Testudines, Dermochelyidae.